AACCCUUGAGCAAUGACAAGUACCUGCCAAACACUGUUGUGAAAAACCUCUCUCCUGGGAAAACAAAAGUCAUGACAUUUUGAGCACAAUUGUGUGUGGGAUGCAUUCAUCAAUAGAGCUGGAAGUAAUACCACCAUAGGAGAGGAAACUUUUAGUUACAAGCACAUAAAUAAAUAAAAUCAAACUCAACUGGAAUGACGUUCCUGAGGAUGGAGAUACAUUUUUUUGUUGACCCAUUUAAACUUGAACAUCAAGUGAUAAUCAGUCUCCAAUCAGAAAGUCCCAGGACUUAUAGGAGCAGAAAUCAGAAGACUUGACUCCACAAGCUUCAGGUGGACAUGGGGACAAAGCCAUUUGAGAACAUGACAAAAAUACAGCAAGAGCAGAGACAAGAUCUGAUCAUCCUGGGGGCAGAUGCUGGGCUCUGACCAAUUUGAGAGAGAAAAGGAAAAAGAACCCAGCUACAAGAUGCACAAGUAUCAGGCCACAGCCACCAACAUCAGCAGAGCAAUUGGAGGCCAGGAAGACAAGGACACUUCUGAAGAGACUGAAAAAAGCAGAAGACAGUCCAAGUCACUGCAAGGUUCCAAGGUCUCUUUUUUCAUUACUGUUACAAGUACCAAGUAAGUCAAAAUCCACCCUACUCUUCAAAACCAUCUUGAAGAGUUGCAGGUCAAUGUUGCUGCAUCUGAGCAUGUUUACUCACAAAAGGUGACAGAUGCUCCUCAACUUACAAUGAGAUUACAUCCUGAUAAAUGUGUCAUAAGUUGAAAAUAUCUUAUAAGUCGAAAAUGCAUUUACUACAACCUAACCCACUGAACAUUGUAGCUUAGGCUAGCCUACCUUAAAAGGUGAUCAGGACACUUCCCUCAGCCUACAUUUGGGCAAAAUCACCUAACACGAAGCCUAUUUUAUAAUAGAGCGUUGAAUAGCUCACAUAAUUUAUUGAAUACUGUACAUUACAUAGAAUCUGUGACAGUUUCACACCAUCGUUAUGUCAAAAAACCAUUAAGUCGAGCUGCCAUAACUCAGGGACUGUCUGUAUUUAUAUUUUUAGCUCCGAAAAACAAAAAAAAACAAAAGAAGUCAGAGGAGGAGGGCAACAUGGAGCAGAGGAAGAAGGAGAGAAAAAGCAAGAAACCGUUAUCGCUCCCUCAUCUGAAUUGCACUGCGAGUAAGCUGGGGCUUCCACCACAGUGUCCUGGAAGCCAUGUUUGCUGCCCAUUUCUGGACUUUCCAGCCACACUGGCCUCCUUUCCCUUUCUCAAACCUGCUGUGGUUCCUGCCACUUCAAGAUAAUCUCUUAACAAUCUAUUCCUUCUGCCUGGAAUGCUCUUCCUCCCACCCAACCCCGCCAUGCCCAGCUAACUCCAUUCUUUGGCCCCUGCAUCGCUUUCCCAAGGAAGCCAUUUCUGGACCUCCCUGACCCCUGCCUUCCAUCUUCACUGGUCCAGAGUUCCCUACACUAUGGUCUCAUCGCUCCUUCCCAGGAGCUGCUGCCUCCCAGGACUCUUCCUCGUCGGUAAUAUAGUUCUGCUUGAUUGUUCAGUUAAUUUUGCCUCCCCUGAAGACCAUAAGCCAUGUUGGCAAUGAUGGUUUUGCUCACCAUUGCACCUCCAGUGUCUAAAAACCAUAGGCAUGUCAAUUCAUUUUUGUUGAGUAAAGGAAUUGUUCAAUAAGUGCACAAAUAAAUUCACAUUAAAACUUGUCC
RNAcentral lists this long non-coding RNA (1711 nucleotides) under Pongo abelii (Sumatran orangutan). RNAcentral's name for it is "lincRNA". The record is from RNAcentral. Lineage: Eukaryota; Metazoa; Chordata; Mammalia; Primates; Hominidae.